RNAcentral lists this ribosomal RNA (445 nucleotides) under uncultured bacterium. RNAcentral's name for it is "partial 16S ribosomal RNA". It matches the Rfam family "Bacterial small subunit ribosomal RNA", at positions 354 to 796 of the family's 1533-position model. The record is from RNAcentral.
GUGAGGAAUAUUGCGCAAUGGAGGCAACUCUGACGCAGCCAUGCCGCGUGCAGGAAGAAGGCGCUACGCGUUGUAAACUGCUUUUAACCGGGAAGAAACCCCAGGACGUGUCCUGGGUUGACGGUACCGGAGGAAUAAGCACCGGCUAACUUCGUGCCAGCAGCCGCGGUAAUACGAAGGGUGCAAGCGUUAUCCGGAUUAAUUGGGUUUAAAGGGUGCGUAGGCGGAGCGUUAAGUCCGUGGUGAAAUCCUGCAGCUUAACUGUAGACUUGCCAUGGAUACUGGCGCUCUUGAGUGCGCUUGAAGUGGGCGGAAUGUGCCGUGUAGCGGUGAAAUGCUUAGAUAUGGCACAGAACACCAAUUGCGAAGGCAGCUCACUAAGGCGAUACUGACGCUGAGGCACGAAAGCGUGGGGAUCGAACAGGAUUAGAUACCCUGGUAGUCC